Molecule: ribosomal RNA, 500 nt
Filed under: uncultured bacterium
Lineage: Bacteria
Description: partial 16S ribosomal RNA
Rfam family: Bacterial small subunit ribosomal RNA
Source: RNAcentral
AUUGAACGCUGGCGGCAUGCCUUACACAUGCAAGUCGAACGGCAGCACGGGAGCAAUCCUGGUGGCGAGUGGCGAACGGGUGAGUAAAGUAUCGGAACGUGCCCAGUCGUGGGGGAUAACGUAGCGAAAGUUACGCUAAUACCGCAUACGAUCUAUGGAUGAAAGCGGGGGAUGGCAAGACCUCGCGCGAUUGGAGCGGCGGAUAUCAGAUUAGGUAGUUGGUGGGGUAAAGGCUCACCAAGCCGACGAUCUGUAGCUGGUCUGAGAGGACGACCAGCCACACUGGGACUGAGACACGGCCCAGACUCCUACGGGAGGCAGCAGUGGGGAAUUUUGGACAAUGGGCGCAAGCCUGAUCCAGCCAUGCCGCGUGCAGGAUGAAGGCCUUCGGGUUGUAAACUGCUUUUGUACGGAACGAAAAGGUUUGACUUAAUACGUUGGACUCAUGACGGUACCGUAAGAAUAAGCACCGGCUAACUACGUGCCAGCAGCCGCCGUAA